This 301-nucleotide ribosomal RNA is filed under the name uncultured bacterium. Its description in RNAcentral is "partial 16S ribosomal RNA". It matches the Rfam family "Bacterial small subunit ribosomal RNA", at positions 509 to 809 of the family's 1533-position model. The record is from RNAcentral.
CAGUAGCCACGGGAAUGCGAAGGGGGCUAGCGUUGCUUGGAAUCACUGGGCGUAAAGGGUGCGUAGGCGGGUCUUUAAGUCAGGGGUGAAAUCCUGGAGCUCAACUCCAGAACUGCCUUUGAUACUGAAGAUCUUGAGCUCGGGAGAGGUGAGUGGAACUGCGAGUGUAGAGGUGAAAUUCGUAGAUAUUCGCAAGAACACCAGUGGCGAAGGCGGCUCACUGGCCCGAUACUGACGCUGAGGCACGAAAGCGUGGGGAGCAAACAGGAUUAGAUACCCGCGUAGUCCUGUCUCUUAUACA